Molecule: long non-coding RNA, 5925 nt
Organism: Sciurus carolinensis (gray squirrel)
Lineage: Eukaryota; Metazoa; Chordata; Mammalia; Rodentia; Sciuridae
Exons: 4
Source: RefSeq, a predicted model, not a curated record
UGGGGCACUUGAUCAAGCCAUGGGAGCCAUUCUCUGCACUGAGGAUGUGAGGCUCUGACUCCUGAUGGUGAGCCUAGUUCUUUGAGGGCAGCUGUGCCUUUCUGAGCAAGGACACAGCCAGAGAGAGAGAGGAUACUGGCCACAAAAUACUGCCCAAGAACAAAAGGGCCUGACUCCUUAGAGUCCCUAGGCAGGCCUUCUGUGGAGGUCCGCAACCUCCUGCAACUGUCUGCACAUGUCACUGUGGCGAGAGGAUUUGUGACUCUCACAACUGCUCAGAGUACUCAGGACCUUCAUGUGGAGGCGCAUCUCUUCAGAGGCACUGAAUGACUUCUCAGAAACCCCAAGGCAGCAGGUAGAAGGGAUAAAGACAUUCUGAUAGUUAAUUUUAUGCAACAACUUGGGUAGGCCAUGUGCACUCCGAGUAAGGCAGAUGAUCCCCUGGGGAACGUGGGCCAUAUCUAGUCAGUGGAAGGCUUUAAAAGAAGACUGAGUUUCCCCAGAAGACAGGGUGCUACAGUAGACUGCCUUGGAUUUGAGCUGCAACACCAACUCUCCCUGGGCCUGCAGCCUGGACUUGCUAGUCUCCACGUUCACAUGACCAACUCCUCAAGAUUAAUUCCUCUAUUUACAUGUGCACACACACAUAAGUUAGUCACAAACAUAUGCACACACACUGUGAUUGUACUUCUCUGAGGAACCCUGACCAUCACACCAGUACUAAAGCUCUGCUACGUAAGUCAGCAUGGAGCAGGUGCAUGCAUCCCCUCACCUAUGGCCUGUGCUGUUCAUAGGAGAGAAAAAGGAAAAGCAUCAUCUGAAAAUCAUAGUUACACAAACUACUGACCUUCAAACUUGGGUUGAAAGAAGGGUGGAUUUAUAAGUAAAAAAUGGAUUCUGCUGUGGAAUAGCAGCUUCCCUCUUCCUCUAUCAUCUUCCAUGCCCAUCCCAUCUGGGUAAGGCCCUGAAAUCCAUGCCUGCCUCCUCACAGAAUCCUUCAGAGUAGCAGAGGCUGACAAGAGGACACUCUGCCACUGCCCCACAAAAGUGUCAAUCACUUUGUGUGUGCACGGGAACUCUGGGAAGACAUCCUUGCUAUCAGGCCAUCUGUUCCACUCUCAUGCCCCAUGGGCUCUGCACUCAGGCCCUGAGUGCCACCAGUGCAGAAAGGUCACAUGCUACACCCAGCCAAAGACACAGAGGGAACAGCAGUCCUUCAUCUGUGCAGGCACUCGGUGGUGCACGUGCUCCCCAAAGCACCGAGCAGCAGCAACACACAGGACACCCUGCCUGACUGGGGUGUGGUGGAAGGGAGAGAGGCCCUGAGACCACAGAGCGGUACACAGAUGUAUACAGGAGAAGUGACCAAGAGACAGCAUGCUGCAAUUACUAAGAAAACACAGGUGCAGCCAUGUGGCUACUGAUUCUGACCAUCCCACUUAACUAAAUUCUACCUCUCUGUCUAUCCGGCACAAAUGACAGGGACCGCCAGCAACAGUCUCCACUGAAGAACAAGGUGAAGACUGGCAUAUUCCUUUAAAUAUUUCUGUACUAUUUCAAUUUUUGUUCAGUGAGUAUUUACUAUCUUUUGAAAUUCAUAUUAACGAAGAUUUUUUUAAUAUAACACCUAUAGAACAUUUUGCUCAAGAGUUUACAAAAUCCUUUUUUUUGGGGGCGGGGGAUUGAACCCAGAUGCUCUACCACCUGGGUUUUAUUUUGAGACAGGAUCUUGCUAAGUUGCUGGGGUUGGCCUCAAAACUUGAGAUCCUCCUGCCUCAGCCUCCCAAGGUUACUGGGAUCAUGUGUAUGCACCACUGUACACUGCACCCAAACAGAUGGGUUAUUUCUAAUAAUUCUUACAACAAAGCCUGGGACAGGCAGGACAGAUCCCUUUACAACAAGAACAUGAAUGGUCAAGAAAUUUACCCAAAAUGGAAAAUGGCAGUUUAAAAUGAUAGAACACAGACCAGGACAGGUGCUGCAGCUCCAGAGCUAACACUCUCAAGUGCUGAAGAGGCAGAAGCCCAUGGAAAAGGUGGAGGCACGGACACCAAGCCAGGCUGGGUGGAGUCCAGCCUCACAUGCUAGGAAGCAAUUGGGUCUUUUGAGAAAGUGAACUUUCUGUUACUGUCACUCUAGGGGCUUAUGGCCAGUUUGCUGACUGGCUAUGGCAAUUGAGGGGAGCAUGGUUCAUUGGGUGAAGAUCAGUGCUUGUAGAUGAGCUACUACUUGAGUUUAUCUCACAGAAGUUUUCUCGUUCACAUGCCUGGAUCUUUUUGCCAUAAAGACGUUCACGCAAUUCACUGAUUCGCUUGUCCAUCAUGGCCACCUCCAUGUUGCGCUUAUUUAAGAGUUCCUUCUGCUGCUGGAGUUUUGAAUUCUGUUCCUGGUUAAGCUGGUUACGAAUCUGUAAAACAGAAAGCACGACUUUUAAGACUUGUAUUAAUGAAGAAGUCAAGUUCUCACUUCAGGGAGAAAAAGGAAAGAAAGAUAAGGCAGACUUAAGUUGGGAUGGUGUUUACAUAAACACACUGCCACCGAGUGCUGUGUCCUGUAGGUGUGGCAAGGCAAAGCCAGAGCAGAGCUGUUCUACAACAAAAAGAGAGCAGAUGUGUGGAACCACAGGUCCUCUUCAAAGUAGACACAGGGACCAGGGCCAAAAGCGACUCUACGAGAUUAGUGUGGAGCCCUGGGGACAAGCGCCCGAAGGCAGAAACUGCAGCAGUCCCCUCAGAACCCUCAAUGCUGCUCCUGUUCAAGGGCACAAAUGAGCCGCUUUACUAGGAGGCAGUGGAAGCUCACAAAAAUGACCUGAAGCACAAAAAAACGUACUUAUUCCAUUGUAGUGGGUUGCAACAAGUUGUUGUUGUUGUUGUUUUUUAAAUAACAGGAGAGAACAGAUAGCAUGAGCGUGCACCCCGCACUGGUACCUCUUCAGGUGCCCACAGGACUAGCACACAUACCUGCCUGUUUGCACCACAGAGGCAAAACUAGACUGCAGUCCAAAACUUAGAGGAGUAAAAGAAUGUUUAAGAACUUAACAGCAACCACAAGUCAUUUUACUUUCUCAAUACCUUCAUUUCACAAAACAAUAUAGUACUAUUCUUAGCAAGUGUUAAAAAAAAAAAUCACAGAACUUGUUUCUGGCUUGAAAAUUCACCUGCUGAAUGAUAACUUCUGAGAAACAGAAAUCUGAAGGUUACGAACUGAAUGUUGGUGGCCUCCUCCUCACACACUGAAGCCCUUCCCCCUGUGUGAUGGUGUCUGAAGGUGGGGCCUAUGGGUGGUGAGUGAUGAGGUUUGGAGGAGGUCAGGGGACAAGCACGCACAAUGUGUUGGACAUGUGUCCUUCUGAGAAGAGAAGAGAGUCAGGCACAGUAGUGCACAACUGUAAUCCCAACCACUGGGGAGGCUGAGGCAGGAUUCCAGGUUCUAGGUCAGCCCAAGUAACUGUUUCAAAGUAAAAUAAAAAGGUCUGGGUUCAAUACCCAGUACCACAAAAUAAAAAAAAAAUUUUUCCAAUUAAAAACAAGGAAAAGAAAAAGAGGAGGAAGAGGGGGAGGAGAGGAGAGACCAGCACUCACUCUCCACUGUGGGAGGACACAGCAAAAAUGCAGGCAUCAGGAGUGGGCUCUCACUAGGAACUUACUCUGCCAGCACCUUGAUCCUGGACUUCCAGCUGUAUGGUAUUUUGUUACAGCAGCUGAGCCUGAGAAGACAAGGAUCUAACAAAGGGAAUCCAGCUCAUCGGAAGGCAAUCUGCAGAGCCCUUUCAGAGUGUGAUCUCAUGCUGCAGACAUGGAGUGAAAGCAGCCAGACACAAAGCCUGCACGUCGCAUGAUUCUGAUGAACUUGGGAUUAACUAAGGGUCUCAGAUGUGCUGGCCAAGCUAUCUAUCACUGAGCUACACCCCAGUCCUUAUUUUAAGUAUUAUUACUUCCUUGUGGUGCCGGGAUUGAACCCAGGACCUCACACAUGCAAGAAUCUCAACCACAACUGCAGAAUCCAGUGAGCAACUGUGCCUGGCACGUCAUCAACCAGAUAGGUCUAGCACAGUGCAGCCUACCAGGCAACCUGUUCACCAGCUGUCUGCCUCAGGGCCCAGGGUGCCUGCUCGUCAAGGGUCAGAAGGUCUUGCUCUGAUGCCUCCCCACCACCAUGAUGCUAAGAAACAUCUGUUAGCACAGAAGGGAUCACAUGGAGAAAAAGACACUGUGUUAGCACCUGCCUGGGGGGCCUCAUCUGGCAAGUGUGACCCGUGCAGAGCAGCUAAACUCCAAUCUGAAAGACUCAUGAAGCUCACACAUCUUGAGCAGAGUUACCUUACCUACAAGUGUCACUUACCUUGGCAACCAACAUUUGCUGCUGAUUUUCAAUCUGCUGUUGCUGCCUAGCUGCCAUAUCUUGGAGCUCUGAGAGGGUAAGUUCAACACGUGGAUUCCCAACCUGCAGAGAAUGAAAGGUAUUCAUUGAUAUCGAUGUUCAUGUGCAAAAUCAUCUUCCUCUAGUGUCAGAAUUCACACACAUCCAGAUUUUAGAUAGGUUCCCUAGAAGUUAAGACAAUGCAAAUGAGUUUAUUUUCUCAUAAGAACUUUUCCUAAUUAUUGACUAAUUUUAUUAGGUAUGAAUAGCAAGUUUUAAAUUUUUUUCCUAAAUAACAUUUUUCCUAAUACAUGAACAUCAGACACUACAAUAAGGGGGGGGGUAAACAUCAAGAAAAUGUGUUUUAUAAGUAAAUUCUUUAGGAUCGAAGGAGGGGGUUAAUAAGUAUAUCUGAGCAGAUGGGGCUGUCAAAUAUUUAAGGACAUGUAACCAAAAAAGCAAAUGUACUGAUGAUACUCAAGGACAACUCUCAUCCUACUAUCACCUGAUUUUGAGAAAAGAAAUACAUAACAGGUUCUAAAAUACAAGUACUUCAAGGAGGAUAAGUUCGGCCUACAGGGAGAAGUGACACAGCAUCCGACAGAAUCAUGUAUGUGAAACGAAUACAAAAAGGUGAUACCUUGGAGUGACAGCUGGCCACACCCUCUCCUCUGUAGCAGGCUCUGAACUACCUGCUGUACGCCGGUGGACCCUUGAGGGUUCAUUUCACAGGUAAGGCAACACCCACAUUUCACAGGUAAGGAAAGAAGCAAAGGCAGACGCUCUCCACACAGCACACUCUCCCCACGUCCUUCUGUGUGUGCACUGCAUUGUGCCAGGUGUGUUUCAGGUACCAUGCCACAUGUUCUCCAAGACAGGCCUCUCUGCUGGGGCUUGAGGCCACUCAGUGAGGGGCACGCCAAAGGAGGCAGCUUACAAAACAGCAGAGCUCUUCUCUGACCAGACUGCCUUCCUCCGCCCCUUCAGUUCCAAUCACAGUGGCCACACUGACCCUCAAGACCCUUUGCUUUCCACCACCCCUUAAACCUCUCAUGAUUCUUAAGAUCAGUUCCAAUCCCUCCCUCUGGCUCCAUGUCUUCCCAACUUUUUAUGGUAUUUGAGCACAUUCUUUACUCCAGAACAAUGGAAUAAGGACUAGUCCAACGGUCUUACCUGGAGCUCCCAUUCUAUGUAUCUAAAUUAGCUCCUUGGGAAACAAUGUGAAGUUCCCCUCUCUUCAAAACUAGGUAUAGUUUUUUUUAUUGUUCUUUUUAGUUAUACAUUUACAGCACAAUGUAUUUUGACACAUCAUCAUACAUACGUGGAAUAUAACUUCCAAUUUCUGUGGCUGUACAUGAUGUGGAGUUAUGCUGGAUGUGUAUUCAUACAUCAACACAGGAAAGUUAUGUUCGAUUCACUCUAUUUGUCUUUUCCUAUUCCCUCACCCCUCCUCCCUUCCCCUCAAUCCCCUUAGUCUAAACCAGUGAACUUCUAUUCUCCCUCUUCCCCCACUGCUUAUUGUGAGUGAGCAUCCACAUAUCAGAGAAAACAUUAGGCCUUUGG